This 23-nucleotide microRNA is filed under the name Pristionchus pacificus. RNAcentral describes it as "ppc-miR-8292-3p". Lineage: Eukaryota; Metazoa; Nematoda; Chromadorea; Rhabditida; Neodiplogasteridae. The record is from miRBase by way of RNAcentral.
AAUCACUGGCCUGUCCAAACAGA